Long non-coding RNA from Bos taurus (domestic cattle), 605 nucleotides. The record is from Ensembl. NCBI's taxonomy places the organism in Eukaryota, Metazoa, Chordata, Mammalia, Artiodactyla, Bovidae.
GAGAGAGUGAGCCUGGCACCCGCAAUACUCUGGUUUCCAGAAGGAAUCACAAAUCCCCUUCCUGUGCAGAUAAAGGAACAAUUGUACCACGGGAGAACUUACUGGAAAGUAACGCAGGGUCACCAGGAAGGAAAAGGAAUUCACUCCUUGGUCAGAGUCCUUCGUCUGGGUUGGGAGUCGCUCAGACUUGGAAAGCAACCCUCUGAAUCAGAUGAUGUUAAUAUCUUCAUUCUCAAGGAGAGGCUCUAAGAAGUUAAAUAACCUGUCAACAGUCACAAAGCGACUGUGUGGCAGAAUCAAGAGGAUACUUCCUAGCAAUCAAGAUAUAUGAGGAUGCUGUGAAAGUGCUGCACUCAAUAUGCCAGCAAAUUUGGAAAACUCAGCAGUGGCCACAGGACUGGAAAAGGGCAGUUUUCAUUCUAAUCCCACAGAAAGGCAAUGCCAAAGAAUGCUCAAACUGCUGCACAAUUGCACUCAUCUCACAUACUAGUAAAGUAAUGCUUAAAAUUCUCCAAGCCAGGCUUCAGCAGUACAUGAACCGUGAACUCCCAGAUGUUCAAGCUGGUUUUAGAAAAGGCAGAGGAACCAGAGACCAAAUUGCCAAC